Molecule: long non-coding RNA, 1429 nt
Filed under: Parus major (Great Tit)
Lineage: Eukaryota; Metazoa; Chordata; Aves; Passeriformes; Paridae
Description: lncRNA (ENSPMJG00000006205.1)
Source: RNAcentral
CCGCCAUUUUAGCCCCGGGGCGGCCCCGCCCGGGCAGCGGGGAGCGGCUGGAGUCAGGUUCGGGAAGCGCUGGGAAGACCGCGGGGACAGCGCCCUGCCCAGCCCCGGCAGCUCCGGCAACACCGCCCGGGGAGCUCCGGGACUCUGUGCGGACACCGCGCCGCCCCGCGCGGCUGCCGCUCGCUCCCCUGCAGCGUGCUCUUGCCCCCGUUCAGUCGCUAGAACUGAGCCCGCAAAAAUGUCCAUCAUAAUAAUGCACAGUAAUAAUUAUUAUUAUUAUUAUUAUUAAUAAUAAUAAUAGCACCACCUUCUGUGCAGUUAAAGACUCGGAUUUCCUUUCUUUAAGCACUACCAGACAGAUUAUUCGCCCUAAGUUGAUGCACGUGGUUUAAAGGGCAGUGGCGCGCAGGAGCCGCAGCUUAGCCCGAGCUCUUCACUCGUGUCAGGCGCUUCCAAACGCACUCGGUCCCAGCACAGCAAAGGCCGGGCACGGUGGGUGCUGGGUAUCAGCCGUGUCUCCCGACAGGUGCCACCACUUUGCCUCUCGGCUUCGCUUUCUGUCUGGUUACACCCAAAAAAUAAACCUGCCCCUCUCUUCUGAAGCAAAUCGCCUUAAAACGAACCCCUGGGCUAAUAAAGCACAUGAUGAAAUAGGGUUUUUUUCCAGGCACGGGAGCCCCGAAGAGCCCAAAGCAAGGCGGCUGUGUGUGCCUGUUGGGCUCCUCUGCUGGCCCAGGCUCUCCGAGCACACGGAGCAUUCCCUGGACGUGCAGGCGGUGCCAGCAUUCACCUCUCAGAGCUGAGCGCGCUGGGAUGCUCGCACGCUGCAGCACAGCCCCUCUCCACACAGACAAAUCCUCAUGUGCUGCCCUCGGACCCAGCCGGAUGUCUGUGUCCCCUAUUCCACUUCUGCAGGUACCCAGGGAGCAGUGUGCUUAUCACCAGUGCCAGCGAUGGCAUUCCAGUCUUCACACAAAACUUGGCAUAUACAGGGACAACAGGUCCCAGUGGGAGUGUGCCAACUGGGAGAUGUUGUGUCUGGGCCACUGACAGCCUAAAGGUGAGCAGUUUAAAGAUUAUUUUAUCUGGUGUUGUGCUGCUAACAGCUGCUGUUAGCUGGCAACCUCUUUCUCUUCAAUUACAAGGUCCAGAGUUAAAUGAGUUUCCCAUAAAAAAUGGACUUUGUAUAGCCAAAGACACGCCAAUAGCUGAUGCUGACAGCCCUUGUUAUCUUUUUAGGCUACAGUCUGCAGGCAGAGAGGACAUUUCUCAGGAAUUUAUUCACCCAGGAACUCUAAAUAAUAACAGCAAGAGAACAAGGUAUAGAAAGGGUUAUUUGGCAGCACUACGAUUUCCGCAAAAUAAAGAACAGCUUCUGGAUCCAAAAUCUAGGAAUUUCAGGGAAGAUCUGAAGGUACUCAGAAAUUAA